CAUUUCUAGCUUGCUAGAAGAUGACGAGUGGCGGACGGGUGAGUAAUACUUAGGAAUAUGCCUUUGUGUGGGGGAUAACUAUUGGAAACGAUAGCUAAUACCGCAUAAUGUCUGUGGACCAAAGGGGGCUUCGGCUCCCGCGCAAAGAGUAGCCUAAGCGAGAUUAGCUUGUUGGUGAGGUAAAGGCUCACCAAGGCGACGAUCUCUAGCUGUUCUGAGAGGAAGAUCAGCCACACUGGAACUGAGACACGGUCCAGACUCCUACGGGAGGCAGCAGUGGGGAAUAUUGCACAAUGGGGGAAACCCUGAUGCAGCCAUGCCGCGUGUGUGAAGAAGGCCUUCGGGUUGUAAAGCACUUUCAGUUGUGAGGAAAGGUUAACGGUUAAUACCCGUUAGCUGUGACGUUAGCAACAGAAGAAGGACCGGCUAACUCCGUGCCAGCAGCCGCGGUAAUACGGAGGGUCCGAGCGUUAAUCGGAAUUACUGGGCGUAAAGCGCACGCAGGCGGUUUGUUAAGCUAGAUGUGAAAGCCCUGGGCUCAACCUGGGAAUUGCAUUUAGAACUGGCAGGCUAGAGUUUUGGAGAGGGGAGUGGAAUUCCAGGUGUA
RNAcentral lists this ribosomal RNA (607 nucleotides) under uncultured bacterium. Its description in RNAcentral is "bacterial SSU rRNA". It matches the Rfam family "Bacterial small subunit ribosomal RNA", at positions 70 to 677 of the family's 1533-position model. The record is from RNAcentral.